GUAUAAUAUUAAAAUACAUCUGCUGAUUGCAACUCAACUACUUUAAUUAAGCUAAAACCUCCUAGGCAGA
This 70-nucleotide transfer RNA is filed under the name Uroplatus fimbriatus (common flat-tail gecko). Its description in RNAcentral is "tRNA-Ala". The record is from RNAcentral. Lineage: Eukaryota; Metazoa; Chordata; Lepidosauria; Squamata; Gekkonidae.